RNAcentral lists this ribosomal RNA (1080 nucleotides) under Crypthecodinium sp. Its description in RNAcentral is "SSU rRNA". It matches the Rfam family "Eukaryotic small subunit ribosomal RNA", at positions 1 to 1086 of the family's 1831-position model. Lineage: Eukaryota; Dinophyceae; Gonyaulacales; Crypthecodiniaceae. The record is from RNAcentral.
AACCUGGUUGAUCCUGCCAGUAGUCAUAUGCUUGUCUCAAAGAUUAAGCCAUGCAUGUCUGAGUCUAUGCCUUUAUACGGUUAAGCUGCGAAUGGCUCAUUAUAACAGUAAUGAUCUAUUUGAUGAUUAUCGUUACAUGGAUAACUACAGUAAUUCUGGAGCCAAUACAUGUUUCAACACCCAACUUAUUGGAGGGUGGUGCUUACCAAAUUCAGAACCAAUCCAAGCUUGCUUGGUAUCAUAAUGAAGUAUGGUAAGAGGAUGAAUCACAUGGUCUUUCUGGUGAUGCAUCUCAUGAGUUUCUGACCUAUCAGCUUUGGAUGGUAGGGUAUUGGCCUACCAUGGCAAUGACGGGUAACGGAGAAUUAGGGUUCGAUUCCGGAGAGGGAGCCUGAGAAAUGGCUACCACAUCUAAGGAAGGCAGCAGGCGCGCAAAUUACCCAAUCUUGACACAAGGAGGUAGUGACAAGAAAUAACAAUACAGGGCAUCCAUGUCUUGUAAUUGGAAUGAGCAGAAUUUAAAACACUUUGCAAGUAUCAAUUGGAGGGCAAGUCUGGUGCCAGCAGCCGCGGUAAUUCCAGCUCCAAUAGCGUAUAUUAAAGUUGUUGCAGUUAAAAAGCUCGUAGUUGAAUUUCUGCAUAGGGCUGUUGGUCCAUCCCCUGGGUGAGUAUCUGACAUGUUCUGUGCAUGAGUCUUGAUGACUAUAGGGCCUUCGCUGGUCGUAUAGUUGUCAGCUAUUUUACUUUGAGGAAAUUAGAGUGUUUCAAGCAGGCAUGUGCCUUGAAUAUAUUAGCAUGGAAUAAUGAAAUUGAGCUUUGGAUCUUUUUUAUUGGUUUCGAGAACCAUCGCAACGAUUGAUAGGGACCAAUUGGGGCCUUUGUGUUUUAAACUGUCAGGGGGUGGAAAUUCCUUGGGAUUUGUUUAAAAGACCCCCCUAAUGCGAAAGGCAUUUGGCCAAAGGAUGUUUUUCUUUGAUCAGACGAAAGUUAGGGAUCGAGACGAUUAGAUACGUCCUAGUCUUAACCAUAAACAAUGCACUAGAGAAUUGGGGUGAGUGUCAUUAUUGGCUCUCUCAGCAC